GGCUUUCAAAAUGAGAAUCCACUGAGGUUGCCUCCUUGAUUCCUCAACUCUGUGCAACUCUUGUCUGCUCCAGCUAUCAGGCCAUCAGACUGCACUCCAGGAGAAGAAAGAGAAAAGAAUGCACCAUGGUUGUUGCAAAGCUCCAUUGAAAACAAGGAAGACUGUCAAAGAGGGGCAUUCUCAAGGUCCAGUAGAGGCCUGACCACAAUCUACAGGACAAGGACAAUCAAACAGCAGCCCAAGACAGAGUUCCGAGUUCCACGCUUAAUCAAUCAGGAUGUUGUUACCAUUCAGGCUAAUGGCAAAAGCACCCAACUCUGUGCUCCAAGACCGGAGUUAGAGUCCUCGCACCCCAUUGAUGAGUAUGUAACCUCGUGUAACUUACCUGAAGGUACAGAGCUGAGGCCUCUCCUUCAUAAGACGGAAAUAAUCACACCUGCUCUCACAAUCUUCCCGGAGGCAUGUGGUGAGGUGCAACUGAGAUAUUAUACACAAGUCUUUGUAAAGCAGAGAGCCUCAUAAAUUGUAAGGUAUUAUUAUUGGCACUCUCUAGGAAUCAGUGUGCUUAAACCUUAGAGUAUAUUAAAAUCACAUGACUUGCUGGCUUAAAAGGAUGGUUUUUAGGCCCUACACACAAUCUGGUUAAGGAGAUGCUGGGUGGAGCUCAGAGAUAAAGAUUUUCAUCACUCAGUCACCACCACCAUCACCACCACCACCACCUCCACCCUUUCCCCUGCCGUGUGAUUUGCAUGUGAAUGGUCCAGGGAUGACACUUGAAGAAGUGUUGAUGUGAGGGUGAGACCAAGCAUUUCAGAAGAACUUCAGAAACGGCCCUAAAGAAAAAUAAAUGAGAUCCUGACAGUUUUGGAUUAAGUACCCAAUAUCUAAUGGCUUUAAGUGAUAAGCUUAAAUAAGCCACUGAACUGAGGACCUGUUGGAAGACAUUACCCUAAUGAACUUACUAAUGAAAAAAGAGAUUUAUUGUAGAAUUGCUUUUAGAGUUGGUUGGAAAUAAUGGAAAAGCCCUUUUCCUUUCCACUGUACCUAGCUCCCCCUAACCCUAUUUCAGGUCAGUGUUUCUGGCUUCACUCCUUCUCUGAUGUGAUUUCUGUACUGAAUGAAUGCCUUCCUUCUGGUUGUUCCUUUCCAUUUUGGGGUGACUAAUGGAGUCCUGUCAUUGUAAUGAGGCUGAGUACCGAGCCAUGUGGGCAUGCCACAAGCCAGAUGGAUGGGGAGGAAUCAAAGCUUCAGAGAUUCUGGGAACCACUGGUGCAUCCAAGAGGGGAAGUAAUAGAGCUGUUGUCUCUCAGUAGCCACAAAAUCAAAUGAUAACUAUUUUGUCGCUUGGAAAAGAUUGCACGGAGCUAGCCCUCAGCUAAACUCUUAAGUCACUGAAAUUGACUCUGAUAUUCCUCCACUAUCUCCACUUCCACGUCAUCUCCCCCUCCUCUCUUGGCCAGGGACUCAGGAACCCCAUUUUGAUAUCCUACCCUGCCCUCUCUGAUUAGUCAGAACCCAGGAACUUUUUCUUUUUCUAUGACAACACCCAACUGCCCACUGGCCCAGUGUCCCUGGUGUUAGAGGAGGUGGUGAGCAUUCUAAUUAACCUGAUCAACCUAUUUGUCCUGAGAUUCGGUGUGUCUCCUCCAAGGUUAAUGGGGACUUUCUGAAAAGAUGUUUUAAUCCCAAAGAAUAUGGAUUCUAGGAAUUACAGGCCUUGGAGGAGGGAGGCUCUUGGGCAGCUAGAGGAGAAAUUCUCAGGCAGCCCUCCCUGGGUCACACCACCUGGAGAGGAGGUAAUACUGACAGCUCUGCCCAUUUCCAAGGUGUUUAUCUGGGGACUUCAUGGAUCCAUUCGGACUCACCAGUAAAAUGACUCCCUCUAGCCUCUGGAGGAAAAUUUCCUGAAAUGGGAGAGCCACAUUAUUUCAUUGAAUCCUCUUAGCAAACACACAGGAAAGUGCUAUCCUGCUGCUUAUACAGUGAACCACUGGGGGCUCUUCAAAGAUGGUACAAACUGAAGGUUAAAUUCAUUGAUGCCAAGAAUGGACUCUUCUGACCCUAAAUUAGUAUGUUAUCCCAAAUUAAAAAAGAAAAAGAUACUCUACCUCCACCAGUGGACAAUUAGUAUAAGCCCAACUCCCAUUGCCACAGGGAUUGGUUCUGGCUGAAACUAAGCUAAUCAGUUCAUGACAUCCCCUUGGCUGCAUUUGACCUUAUUCAGGUCAAUGAAAAGCAAGAAGAUGUCAGAGGGUUUCUGGGAAAGGAACUUCAUUGUUUUGACAAGAGUGUCUUUGGAUGUCAUUCUUUCUCUCUCUGAAAAUUGAUAAGGAAGCAUAUAUUCAUCUUUUUGUUAGCAGUCAUCUUGCCCCAUGAAAGAGAGCCAGCCUUAGGAUGAAACUGACACCAAAGGCAAAACAAAGAUCUGGAACAAAACUGAUUCCUUGAUAUUAUCAUUGAGCGGCUAAAUCAAACUAACACUGAAGCCUUCCCUACCUCCGGACUGCCAGCUAUGUAAAUAAAUGAGUUAGGAUUAGGUUCAGUGGCAUGUAACUGAAAACUCCAAAUACCAGUGCUUAAACAAGCUAAAGGUUUAUUUCUUUCUCAGGUUAAAAAAAAAAAAAAAAAAAAAAAAUGGUCCA
This 2642-nucleotide long non-coding RNA is filed under the name Canis lupus familiaris (dog). RNAcentral's name for it is "lncRNA (ENSCAFG00040007373.1)". The record is from RNAcentral. Lineage: Eukaryota; Metazoa; Chordata; Mammalia; Carnivora; Canidae.